RNAcentral lists this unclassified non-coding RNA (224 nucleotides) under Hevea brasiliensis (rubber tree). Lineage: Eukaryota; Viridiplantae; Streptophyta; Magnoliopsida; Malpighiales; Euphorbiaceae. The record is from RNAcentral.
GCCCUUUGGAAACAGAUGAUCCAGUUGUUCAUCACCAGACAUGAGAGUCUGAAGGGGGAGCAACAUCAGCCCAUUAUAUAACAAUGGGCACAUUUGUUAGGAAAAGAUCUUCAUCAUAGCUGGACGCAGGAGAGCUUUUGGGGGAAGCAUUACAAGUUUUCUCUGUUUCAUCCUCGACAAAAAUUUCUUCACAACGGCAAUCAAAACUGCAAAAUGCUUUCUCA